AACAUAGGAUUUUGUUUUAUUUAAAGAUUAAUUGUGUAUUUGGAACCAUUCAGAAAAUUUGGCAAUGCCUGUGUUAGCUUAAUUAAUUAGUGAAUCAAAAGUAUUGUGUUAUAAAAUCUAAUUGAUGUCAUCAGCAAAGAGAAUGAGAAGUACAGUAGAAGACAAAGCAGUAAGGUUAUUGAUAUAGAUUAGAAUGGAUUGGUAGAAGACACGGUAACAAGGUUAUUGAUAUAGAUUAGAAUGGAUUGGUAGAAGACACAGCAACAAGGUUAUUGAUAUAGAUUAGAAUGGAUUGGUAGAAGACACAGCAACAAGGUUAUUGAUAUAGAUUAGUAUGGAAUGGUAGAAGACACAGCAACAAGGUUAUUGAUAUAGAUUAGUAUGGUAGAAGACCCAGCAGUAAGGUUAUUGAUAUAGAUUAGUAUGGAUUGGUAGAAGACAGCAACAAGGAUAUAGAUUAGUAUGGAAUGGUAGAAGACACAGUAACAAGGUAUUGAUAUAGAUUUGUAUGUUAUGGUAGAAGACACAGCAACAAGGUUAUUGAUAUAGAUUAGUAUGGUAGAAGACACAGUAACAAGGUUAUUGUUAUAGAUUAGUAUGGUAGAAGACUCAGCAGUAAGGUUAUUGAUAUAGAUUAGUAUGGUAGAAGACUCAGCAGUAAGGUUAUUGAUAUAGAGUUGAAGUCUGAAGUUUACAUACACUUAGGUUGUAGUCAUUAAAACUCAUUUUUCAACCACUCCACACAUUUCUUGUUAACAAACUAUGGUUUUGGCAAGUCGGUUAGAUCUACUUUGUGCGUGACACAGGUCAAUUUUCCAACAAUUGAUUACAGACAGAUUAUUUCACUUAUAAUUCACUGUAUCACAAUUCCAGUGGGUCAGAAGUUAACAUACACUAAGUUGACUGCCUUAAACAGCUUGUAAAAUUCCAGAAAAUGAUGUCAUGGCUUCAGAAGCUUCUGAUGGGCUAAUUGACAUAAUUUGAGUCAAUUGGAGGUGUACCUGUGGAUAUAUUUCAAGGCCUACCUUCAAACUCAGUGCCUCUUUGCUUGACAUUGGAAAAUCAACAGAAAUCAGACAAGACCUCAGAAAAAUAUUUGAGACCUUCAAAAGCCUGGUUCGUCCUUGGGAGAAAUUUCCAAACGCCUGAAGGUACCACGUUCAUCUGUACAAACAAUAGUACGCAAGUAUAAACACCAUGGGACCACGCUCCAAAACCGCCGUAAAAUAGCCAGAUUACGGUUUGCAACUGCACAUGGGGACAAAGAUGGUUCUUUUUAGAGAAAUGUCCUCUGGUCUGAUGAAACAAAAAUAGAACUGUUUGGCCAUAAUGACCAUCGUUAUGUUUGG
Oncorhynchus tshawytscha (Chinook salmon) is the source of this 1349-nucleotide long non-coding RNA. The record is from Ensembl. Lineage: Eukaryota; Metazoa; Chordata; Actinopteri; Salmoniformes; Salmonidae.